UACGUAGGGUGCAAGCGUUGUCCGGAAUUAUUGGGCGUAAAGAGCUCGUAGGCGGUCUGUCGCGUCGGAUGUGAAAAAUCCAGGGCUCAACCCUGGACCUGCAUUCGAUACGGGCAGACUAGAGUUCGGCAGGGGAGACUGGAAUUCCUGGUGUAGCGGUGAAAUGCGCAGAUAUCAGGAGGAACACCAAUGGCGAAGGCAGCUCGCUGGGACGUGACUGACGCUGAGACGCGAAAGCGUGGGGAGCAAACAGG
RNAcentral lists this ribosomal RNA (254 nucleotides) under uncultured bacterium. Its description in RNAcentral is "partial 16S ribosomal RNA". It matches the Rfam family "Bacterial small subunit ribosomal RNA", at positions 524 to 776 of the family's 1533-position model. The record is from RNAcentral.